CGGAGGCAGCAGUGAGGAAUAUUGGACAAUGGGCGCAAGCCUGAUCCAGCCAUGCCGCGUGCAGGAAGACGGUCCUAUGGAUUGUAAACUGCUUUUAUACAGGAAGAAACACCUCUACGUGUAGAGACUUGACGGUACUGUAUGAAUAAGCAUCGGCUAACUCCGUGCCAGCAGCCGCGGUAAUACGGAGGAUGCAAGCGUUAUCCGGAAUCAUUGGGUUUAAAGGGUCCGUAGGCGGCCAAAUAAGUCAGUGGUGAAAGCCCAUCGCUCAACGAUGGAACGGCCAUUGAUACUGUUUGGCUUGAAUUAUUGGGAAGUAACUAGAAUAUGUAGUGUAGCGGUGAAAUGCUUAGAGAUUACAUGGAAUACCAAUUGCGAAGGCAGGUUACUACUAAUAUAUUGACGCUGAUGGACGAAAGCGUGGGGAGCGAACAGGAUUAGAUACCCCUGUAGUCC
This 456-nucleotide ribosomal RNA is filed under the name uncultured bacterium. RNAcentral describes it as "bacterial SSU rRNA". It matches the Rfam family "Bacterial small subunit ribosomal RNA", at positions 343 to 796 of the family's 1533-position model. The record is from RNAcentral.